GAGCUUUGCGCUGUGCUUUUUAAGCUUUGCGCUGGGCUUCUAGUUGGCCGACUGGCAACGCCAGAACGCCCAGUCUGGCUGAGCAGCUGAUGAUAGCGCAGCCCUCGUCGUCAGCUGAUCGUGGGUGUACGAUUGUUAUUGUUUACCAGUAGUUGUGGUCAAUUGUACUGGAACCAACAACAAUUUCCCUCGCUGCCGUCAAUUCUGCCAAUGCGUCUCCUGGUGACACGGCUGCCUCCGACGUCCAGCAGCAGGUGCCCCGACCGACCAGCGAUCAAAAGGAGCGACUUCAAAACGCGACCGGCUUGUGGAAAAUUCGCACACUGUCCCUGUGUGUGUGUGUGUGUGUGUGUGUGUGUGUGUGUGUGUGUGUGUGUGUGUGUGUGUGUGUGUGUGUGUGUGUGUGUGUGUGUGUGUGUGUGGGUGUGUGUGUGUGUGUGUGUGUGUGUGUGUGUGUGUGUGUGUGUGUGUGUGUG
Molecule: long non-coding RNA, 476 nt
Organism: Drosophila sulfurigaster albostrigata
Lineage: Eukaryota; Metazoa; Arthropoda; Insecta; Diptera; Drosophilidae
Exons: 2
Source: RefSeq, a predicted model, not a curated record